Molecule: long non-coding RNA, 318 nt
Filed under: Helianthus annuus (common sunflower)
Lineage: Eukaryota; Viridiplantae; Streptophyta; Magnoliopsida; Asterales; Asteraceae
Description: hypothetical non coding rna
Source: RNAcentral
AUGCGAUGCUUACUUGCUAGGAAAGCGAGGCAAUAAUAAAGCUUUAGAGCCCAUCUAGCAGUUGUAGGUCGUAGCCUACCUAGGGGUCUCUAGAAGCGAAUAAACUAUAGCCAUGGAGCCGUUGGAGUUGUUCGAUCAAGCAUCUAUGGCAUUAGUUGUCUGUAGAUCUUGUCCGGACGAGUCUUAAUGACUCUGGGCAGUACUUUAAAACAUUUGGUUUGUAAUAAAUUGAAUCUGAGUUGUCGAAACAGUACUAUUUGUUUAGUUGUAUUCUAUGAUGACUUGUUUAUUUAUUUGGGAUACGGUAUGGGACGUAUC